This 468-nucleotide ribosomal RNA is filed under the name uncultured bacterium. RNAcentral's name for it is "partial 16S ribosomal RNA". It matches the Rfam family "Bacterial small subunit ribosomal RNA", at positions 28 to 507 of the family's 1533-position model. The record is from RNAcentral.
GACGAACGCUGGCGGCGUGCUUAACACAUGCAAGUCGAACGGAAAGGCCCUGCUUUUGUGGGGUGCUCGAGUGGCGAACGGGUGAGUAACACGUGAGUAACCUGCCCUUGACUUUGGGAUAACUUCAGGAAACUGGGGCUAAUACCGGAUAGGAGCUCCUGCUGCAUGGUGGGGGUUGGAAAGUUUCGGCGGUUGGGGAUGGACUCGCGGCUUAUCAGCUUGUUGGUGGGGUAGUGGCUUACCAAGGCUUUGACGGGUAGCCGGCCUGAGAGGGUGACCGGCCACAUUGGGAAUGAGAUACGGCCAAGACUCCUACGGGAGGCAGCAGUGGGGAAUAUUGCACAAUGGGCGGAAGCCUGAUGCAGCAACGCCGCGUGCGGGAUGAAGGCCUUCGGGUGGUAAACCGCUUUCGCCUGUGACGAAGCGUGAGUGAGGGUAAUGGGUAAAGAAGCACCGGCUAACUACGUG